GAUGAACGCUGGCGGCGUGCCUAAUACAUGCAAGUCGAGCGAACGGACGAGAAGCUUGCUUUUCUGAUGUUAGCGGCGGACGGGUGAGUAACACGUGGAUAACCUACCUACAAGACUGGGAUAACUUCGGGAAACCGGAGCUAAUACCGGAUAAUAUUUUGAACCGCAUGGUUCAAAAGUGAAAGACGGUCUUGCUGUCACUUAUAGAUGGAUCCGCGCUGCAUUAGCUAGUUGGUAAGGUAACGGCUUACCAAGGCAACGAUGCAUAGCCGACCUGAGAGGGUGAUCGGCCACACUGGAACUGAGACACGGUCCAGACUCCUACGGGAGGCAGCAGUAGGGAAUCUUCCGCAAUGGGCGAAAGCCUGACGGAGCAACGCCGCGUGAGUGAUGAAGGUCUUCGGAUCGUAAAACUCUGUUAUUAGGGAAGAACAUAUGUGUAAGUAACUGUGCACAUCUUGACGGUACCUAAGCAGAAAGCCACGGCUAACUACGU
RNAcentral lists this ribosomal RNA (496 nucleotides) under uncultured bacterium. Its description in RNAcentral is "partial 16S ribosomal RNA". It matches the Rfam family "Bacterial small subunit ribosomal RNA", at positions 28 to 506 of the family's 1533-position model. The record is from RNAcentral.